GAUGAACGCUGGCGGCGUGCCUAACACAUUCAAGUCGAACGGAACUAUUACGAAUGAAGUUUUCGGAUGGAUUUUGUUUUAGUUUAGUGGCGGACGGGUGAGUAACGCGUGAGCAACCUGCCUUUGCAAUCGGGAUAACAGCCGGAAACAGCUGCUAAUACCGAAUGAUACACAUUGGUCGCAUGUCCGAUGUGUCAAAGAUCCGUUGUGCAAAGAUGGGCUCGCGUCUGAUUAGAUAGUUGGUGAGGUAACGGCUCACCAAGUCGACGAUCAGUAGCCGGACUGAGAGGUUGAACGGCCACAUUGGAACUGAGAUACGGUCCAGACUCCUACGGGAGGCAGCAGUGGGAAUAUUGGGCAAUGGGCGAAAGCCUGACCCAGCGACGCCGCGUGAGGGAAGAAGGUCUUCGGAUUGUAAACCUCUGUUGAUAGGGAAGAAGAAAAGUGACGGUACCUAUCGAGGAAGUCAACGGCUAACUACGUGCCAGCAGCCGACGG
Molecule: ribosomal RNA, 498 nt
Filed under: uncultured bacterium
Lineage: Bacteria
Description: bacterial SSU rRNA
Rfam family: Bacterial small subunit ribosomal RNA
Source: RNAcentral